This 490-nucleotide ribosomal RNA is filed under the name uncultured bacterium. RNAcentral describes it as "partial 16S ribosomal RNA". It matches the Rfam family "Bacterial small subunit ribosomal RNA", at positions 30 to 507 of the family's 1533-position model. The record is from RNAcentral.
AUUGAACGCUGGCGGCAGGCCUAACACAUGCAAGUCGAACGGUAACAGGAAGACGCUUGCUUCUUUGCUGACGAGUGGCGGACGGGUGAGUAAUGUCUGGGAAACUGCCUGAUGGAGGGGGAUAACUACUGGAAACGGUAGCUAAUACCGCAUAACGUCGCAAGACCAAAGAGGGGGACCUUCGGGCCUCUUGCCAUCGGCUGUGCCCAGAUGGGAUUAGCUAGUAGGUGGGGUAACGGCUCACCUAGGCGACGAUCCCUAGCUGGUCUGAGAGGAUGACCAGCCACACUGGAACUGAGACACGGUCCAGACUCCUACGGGAGGCAGCAGUGGGGAAUAUUGCACAAUGGGCGCAAGCCUGAUGCAGCCAUGCCGCGUGUAUGAAGAAGGCCUUCGGGUUGUAAAGUACUUUCAGCGGGGAGGAAGGGAGUAAAGUUAAUACCUUUGCUCAUUGACGUUACCCGCAGAAGAAGCACCGGCUAACUCCGUG